AUGUUUACUUUGCGACUAUAAUUGUAUUAAUAUAAAUAAUAGGGGCAAUUGCUUAUAUACUUCUAAAAAGUUUUCGACUUUCCGAUUUACCCCUCUUAGAAGGCUAAUAUUGAAAAUACUAUUUCUAUGUUCCAACCUAUUUCUAAUAUACCGCUAGAGUUAAAAUCUGUUAAUGAACUAUGUUAUCUCUGUAAAAUUACUAUUUUGCUCUUUCAAACAUACCCUUCGAUCAUUACUGACUUUCUUAUUUGCCCUUAAAGUCAAGGGCACAAAAAGUAUUUUGACUUUUAGUCUUUUCCAAUAUAUUCCUCUACCGUCACCAACAUUUCUUAUUUGCCCUUAAGUUAAGGGCAAAAUUGACAUUUUAUUUUUUUUUAACUGUGGUAGAUAUUUAAUUCACGUUUAACUCAAGUUAACUUAAUAGGAGAUAACUAAGGGAGUAUUUUGCAAUAACGGUGAAACAUAUGAGGGGUAUUUUAGAAAGAAAAAAAAGAAUAAGGAUAAAUCAGAUAUUUUCAAACGUAUGAGGAGUAUAUAGGCAAUUAUCCCUAAAUAAUAAUCUUAAAUUUUAUAAUAAAAAAAUAUUAAGUGACUUAAAUUAAAGAAGAAUUAAAUACCAAAAUU
RNAcentral lists this long non-coding RNA (624 nucleotides) under Ananas comosus (pineapple). Its description in RNAcentral is "long non-coding RNA (ACOM_LNC015694)". Lineage: Eukaryota; Viridiplantae; Streptophyta; Magnoliopsida; Poales; Bromeliaceae. The record is from RNAcentral.